GCGCUUCAACGAUUUACGCCUUCAAUAAUUAAUUCUAAAGAUAUAAAUCGUCUGGAGAUAAUUCGAUCUCCGGAUCUAUAUAAACCCUUGACAAGACAGCCUGUUAGGAUUACCGACUAUUUUUUUUUUCUUGGUUGCCUAUUUCCUUCCGUCGUCCUCUGCUUUAGAAUCUCCUUAUUUUUUCUGUGAGAGAAAUGGCUUCUAGGAACCUUGACUUUGCACCACUGGGAUUCCGAUCUGAGCUGAUGGAGAGAGAUGUGGUUCUACUCCACGAGCAGUACCAGAUUCUUUAGAAAUUUCAGUUGAAAAUCUCAGGGCCAGAUGAUCGAGUCUGUCAACCUCCAAUGGGCCGAAUUAGCCCCUAUGAAGAGUGCUUCCGAGCCGGACUGAGGCCCCCCUUCACCCCUUCUUCAUCGCUUUCCUCUGAUUCUUUGAGAUAUCAUCAUGUUUGAUGGUACCCAAUUUAUGAUGGCACAUCUGUAGUUUCACCGCGAUGUGCGUGCUGGCCA
This 509-nucleotide long non-coding RNA is filed under the name Elaeis guineensis (African oil palm). RNAcentral describes it as "long non-coding RNA (EGUI_LNC022697)". Lineage: Eukaryota; Viridiplantae; Streptophyta; Magnoliopsida; Arecales; Arecaceae. The record is from RNAcentral.